Molecule: ribosomal RNA, 541 nt
Filed under: uncultured organism
Description: bacterial SSU rRNA
Rfam family: Bacterial small subunit ribosomal RNA
Source: RNAcentral
UGGAUCCAGACUUUGAUCUGGCUCAGGAUGAACGCUAGCUACAGGCUUAACACAUGCAAGUCGAGGGGAAACGAUAUUGGAAGCUUGCUUCCGAUAGGCGUCGACCGGCGCACGGGUGAGUAACGCGUAUCCAACCUGCCCAUCACUUGGGGAUAACCUUGCGAAAGUAAGACUAAUAUCCAAUGAUAUCUCUAGAAGACAUCUGAAGGAGAUUAAAGAUUUAUCGGUGAUGGAUGGGGAUGCGUCUGAUUAGCUUGUUGGCGGGGUAACGGCCCACCAAGGCGACGAUCAGUAGGGGUUCUGAGAGGAAGGUCCCCCACAUUGGAACUGAGACACGGUCCAAACUCCUACGGGAGGCAGCAGUGAGGAAUAUUGGUCAAUGGACGAGAGUCUGAACCAGCCAAGUAGCGUGCAGGAUGACGGCCCUAUGGGUUGUAAACUGCUUUUAUAAGGGAAUAAAGUGAGUCUCGUGAGACUUUUUGCAUGUACCUUAUGAAUAAGGACCGGCUAAUUCCGUGCCAGCAGCCGCGGUAAUACGGAA